Anas platyrhynchos (mallard) is the source of this 2389-nucleotide long non-coding RNA. RefSeq lists it as uncharacterized. The record is from RefSeq and is a predicted model, not a curated record. NCBI's taxonomy places the organism in Eukaryota, Metazoa, Chordata, Aves, Anseriformes, Anatidae.
ACACAAAUGGCCAAGGAGCUUUGAUCCAUCCACAGAGGGAGAGGACCUGGCUGAGGUGUUUGAGCCGCUGGGAGGGUAGAGAAGCUGAAAUGAAGGAAAGGGGAUGAGUAUUGCAUUCAUUUGUAAUGUUUUCCUGUUGAAAGCUGUUGUGCUUAUUGCAGAGUUGGUAGUACAUUUGGAGUUAGGAAAAACAAUGUCCUGUGUUAGCAAAAUAACAGUUUAGGUAGGAGGCUUUAUUACUGUUUGUGAUCCAAUUCCUGCCCUAAUGCUGAGGCUUUCUUAGUCUCUUGUGUUGGGCUCUGAGGACUCCUGUGCAUGCUGCCUGCAGCCUCCCUGCUCGCUGCGAGUGCUCUGCUUUGGUGCUGCGUGGGCGAGCGCUGGACACACGUUUGGUUCCAUCUCACAUUCAUCACUGACCUAGAAAAAUGUCUCUCACUGCACACCCAGCAGGACAGGAAACAUAACUCGAAGCAGAAAAUGGAACCGUCAGUUCCACACUCCUGCAUGUUAUAAUAUAAUCCAUUUUGUUAUCAUGUUUUCUAUUUUCCGAACUUUUAGUUAAUUACUAUUAAGGGUAGUAUUUUUUGGUAGCAUUCUGACUUUGUUAAUGCCACUGCUACUUGAGAAGGUGUCUGACAGAUGCUGAUUUAUUGGAAACCAUACUUUUUAAAGCCUAUUGUAACUGGACUAUGUGCUGGCUAUCGCAGCCAAUCCAAUGCAGCAUCCCUCUGCUUUCACAAUUCUUUAUUAGCCUCUCUGGCUGUCACAUCUUGCAGCCCAAAGCUUAACUUCUUUGAUUAAAUUACUUUGUGCAGAAAAUGUCUCAAUUCAGGAUGAGAACAGGUGGAUUUCACUGCGUGCCUUAUUUUCCAAUACUUUGUUGAGGCAAAAUCCAGACAUUAUUAAAAGCUUGUAUAAAAGCGUCUCUUUAAAGAAAACUGAAAAACAAACCAAGUAAAACUCAGAGCAUCUAGCAGUAGUUUAUAUAAUUAAAAGUACCCAUUUGAAACCACUGUGUGAGGAGCACUACCAUGAGUAUUACAUAUAUUGCCUAUUACAUGUAUUGAGCUAUUUGUGUUAAGCAAGGAUCCUUAUACGUAAUGAAAAUUCCUGCCACCUCAUGCAUUUUUUUGUCUUUAAGGGGUAGUUGCAGUCCAUCCUCAUUCAAAUAGCCAGAGGAACUUGAAAAGUCACUCUGCUUAGAAAACACCUGUUUUUUUUUCUUCCCCUAAUGUAGAAUAUAAACUUGUGAGGGAAAAUCAGGGGUACUGUCUGUGAUGUCAAUGCAAUACCUAGAACUACAAAAGCAAAAGGGACAAAUGGGGUGAAAUCUGAACACCACAGCCUCAAGCAGGGCGAGGAAUACAAAUGCACCCUGGCAGUGUUUGUGUCUGAGCAGGGAGUACAGUUGCUGCUUCUGUGCACUUGGAAGCGUGAAAACCAUCUUUGCUGAAAUUUUGCUGUCAAACUGAUGCUUGCUCAGGGACUGCUGGAGGAGGGAAAGUGAGCAAGCUGAAGCCUGCCUGCCUGCCUUCAGGGAGAUGUUCCUCGGCUGCUCGCAGAUGCCAGGGGCUGGCUUCGAAACGCUUCUUCCUGGCAAUGACGGUGUGCGUGUGCAGCCGGUGCCCCCCAGGAGCAGGCAGUUUCUGCAUGUUUGCUCUUAUUUUGAGUGAAGGCAAUAGCCCGCAUCUGUCCCAGUGCUGCCUCGCAAGGGUGACGUUUCACCUCACCAGAGCUGCCUGUUUCCUUCUCAUCUGUGAGUCAGUAGCAUGGGGAAAGCACGCAGCGUCCGCCUGCCUGCUGCACAGCUUCUGCACGCCGGCGAGUUUGCAAGUCCCUGGCAACCCAGUCCCUGCUCCUGCACACCUGCCUGCCUUGCAAAUGCUGCCACUGCAUGCACAGCUCCGUAACGAAGCUGAAAAUACCAUCUGCACUCGGUUAUGUUUUCAGACUCGGAAGGUGCAUCCUGGUAUUUGUAAAACACGCAGUUGUGAAAUCAGGCAUCCCUGGGCAGUCAGUCAUGUACGCAGGCUGUUCUUUGCAAGACUGAACUUUCACUUGUCUUCACAAACUUGAAUGGCAGACCACAAGAGACUCAUGACUAUUCAGGGCAUAAAAUAUAAUCCCACUUGCAAAACAAGUGUGCUUGCACUGCCUGCUCUGGGAAAAGAUGCUAAAUCAUUCUAAUCAACCACCUGGCAGAUUUGUACAGCCCUUUGCAUUACAAAUGGGGGCUCAACCUUGGACUUUCUGAUUUCUGCUUUUGAAACAGGGUAUGUAAUGUGCAGUGACAAAAACGCUGGAUAAAUUCUGCCUACAGGACAGACCCAGAGGAGAUCAAGUGCUCCAGAUUUUCUCUAUGAAAAGAAUACAGGGGAAAAAAAUAAAA